Molecule: long non-coding RNA, 694 nt
Organism: Ailuropoda melanoleuca (giant panda)
Lineage: Eukaryota; Metazoa; Chordata; Mammalia; Carnivora; Ursidae
Exons: 2
Source: RefSeq, a predicted model, not a curated record
UUCUACCUGGCGUUGGGGCGUGGUAGUCUCUGGGGAGGAAGUGAGUGAGGGCGUAGGCUCCUGCGUUCUCAACUCUGGUCUAGGCCCUCUGGCCUUGGAGGGGGAGGGAGAGGUAGCCACUCGGCCUGCUUGGGGCGGUGAGGUGGGGUGGGGGGUAGCGCAUGGGCUCGUGGAGUCCUGUGCUGCCUGGUUCUGAAACGCAGCAGUCUUGACUUCAACCUGGGCUUUCCUGUCUCCUUGACAGUGGAGGAGUGGGGCAGGGAAGCCAGGCAGCUCCCCCUUACAGCCCCAGGCCCCACUGCCCCUUCCUGAGUGAGCGCAUUCCCCUUUGCAGACAGCAAACUCCUCUGAGGGGGCAGGCUCUCCCUUCGGCUGAGAAAAGCAUUCGUUCUCCUGUUUAAUAAAAAUUAACUUUAAAAAAAGAAGAGGAAGGUGGGGAAGAUCAGAGCCGGAGAGAAAUGUGAGGACAGACGGCCACACACACACAAAGGUCAGAAAGGGGAGAAGAUGCUAUGCUGCUGGCUUUGAAGCUGGAGGACGGGGCCAUGAGCCGGAGAACGCAGGCAGCUUCUAGAAGCUGGAAAAGGCACGGAAAGGGAUUCUCCCCUCGAGCCUCAAGAAAGAACCAGCACUGUGGACCAUUUUACAUGUCUGACUUCCAGAACUGUAAGAUCAAAAAUUUGUGUUGUUUUAA